This 432-nucleotide ribosomal RNA is filed under the name uncultured bacterium. RNAcentral's name for it is "partial 16S ribosomal RNA". It matches the Rfam family "Bacterial small subunit ribosomal RNA", at positions 29 to 506 of the family's 1533-position model. The record is from RNAcentral.
AACGAACGCUGGCGGCAUGCCUAACACAUGCAAGUCGAACGAGACCUUCGGGUCUAGUGGCGCACGGGUGCGUAACGCGUGGGAACCUGCCCUUAGGUUCGGAAUAACUCCCCGAAAGGGGUGCUAAUACCGGAUAAUUUCUUCGGACCAAAGAUUUAUCGCCUUUGGAUGGGCCCGCGUUGGAUUAGCUAGUUGGUAGGGUAAAAGCCUACCAAGGCGACGAUCCAUAGCUGGUCUGAGAGGAUGAUCAGCCACACUGGGACUGAGACACGGCCCAGACUCCUACGGGAGGCAGCAGUGGGGAAUAUUGGACAAUGGGCGAAAGCCUGAUCCAGCAAUGCCGCGUGAGUGAUGAAGGCCUUAGGGAUGUAAAGCUCUUUUACCCGGGAUGAUAAUGACAGUACCGGGAGAAUAAGCUCCGGCUACCUCCGU